GAUGAACGCUGGCGGCGUGCCUAAUACAUGCAAGUCGAGCGAACAGACGAGGAGCUUGCUCCUCUGACGUUAGCGGCGGGCGGGUGAGUCACACGUGGAUAACCUACCUAUGAGACUGAGAUAACUUCGGGAAACCGGAUCUAAUACCGGAUAAUAUAUUGAACCGCAUGGUUCAAUAGUGAAAGACGGUUUUGCUGUCACUUAUAGAUGGAUCCGCGCCGGAUUAGCUAGUUGGUAAGGUAACGGCUUACCAAGGCAACGAUGCGUAGCCGACCUGAGAGGGUGAUCGGCCACACUGGAACUGAGACACGGUCCAGACUCCUACGGGAGGCAGCAGUAGGGAAUCUUCCGCAAUGGGCGAAAGCCUGACGCAGCAACGCCGCGUGAGUGAUGAAGGUCUUCGGAUCGUAAAACUCUGUUAUUAGGGAAGAACAAAUGUGUAAGUAACUAUGCACGUCUUGACGGUACCUAAUCAGAAAGCCACGGCUAACUACGUG
Molecule: ribosomal RNA, 497 nt
Filed under: uncultured bacterium
Lineage: Bacteria
Description: partial 16S ribosomal RNA
Rfam family: Bacterial small subunit ribosomal RNA
Source: RNAcentral